This 289-nucleotide ribosomal RNA is filed under the name Boophis andohahela. RNAcentral's name for it is "partial 16S ribosomal RNA". It matches the Rfam family "Bacterial large subunit ribosomal RNA", at positions 1991 to 2427 of the family's 2925-position model. The record is from RNAcentral. Lineage: Eukaryota; Metazoa; Chordata; Amphibia; Anura; Mantellidae.
AAUCAACGGCACCACGAGGAUCCUACUGUCUCCCUACUCCAAUCAGUGAAACUGAUCUCUCCGUGAAGAAGCGGGGAUACAAAUAUAAGACGAGAAGACCCCAUGGAGCUUUAAACCCGACGACACCCAUUUUCUUUUUACCCUAGUAUUCAUUUGGCUAUGUUUGAUUGGUUUUAGGUUGGGGUGACCACGGAGCAUAAAAUAACCUCCACGAAAAAUAGACUAAUAAUCUUUAUCAAAGAAGUACACUUCUAAGAAUUAACAAAUUAAUUUCCAAUGAUCCGAUAUU